UCUAACUAACUACCAUGCGGAUUCCACCCUAUGGCUAACCCCCCUCAUUUCGAAAAUAAUUUGACAGACCCCCUCGGCAUACAUGAAGUACCUAAACUGCCAUUAAUAGCAAUUUUCCUAAACGUGAAUGUUGCCAUGUAUACGUAAUACCGGCGUUAUAAUUCCCUCUGAAUGCGGAAAACGUGCGAAGUAUCAGGAAAACUGAUUUUCGUGAUUUCGUGAGAUUUUCUUUGUGUCAAACCUUUCGAUUUUCUUCUACGGUGUAAUUUGUGGAUCUCUGUAUAAUACAUUUUCGAAUACGCUGACAUCGUCUCUGUAAGUGUUGUUUAAAUUUUAACAUAUCUCAAUUGAUUGUCGACAAAUAAUUAUGUAAUAUGUAAAUUGUUUAUAAUUUUUGUAGAU
This 402-nucleotide long non-coding RNA is filed under the name Erythranthe guttata (spotted monkey flower). Its description in RNAcentral is "long non-coding RNA (EGUT_LNC001877)". Lineage: Eukaryota; Viridiplantae; Streptophyta; Magnoliopsida; Lamiales; Phrymaceae. The record is from RNAcentral.